GAUUUCUGACGAAACUGCUAGCUGGCCCGCCACGCAAGUGUGUGAGUGCCGGCUUGGCGUUUGUCAUCCGUUCGAAUGAUAUGCGUGCUGCCCUUCACUGGGUUGGCGCUGCAUGUUUUCGAUCUUUUACUUUGAAAAAAUUAGAGUGUUUAAAGCAGGCUUGCGCUAUGAAUACAUUAGCAUGGAAUAAUAAUUUAGGACUUUGGUCUUAUUUUGUUGGUUUCUAGGACUAAAGUAAUGAUUGAUAGGGACAGUUGGGGGUGCUAGUAUUCAGCGGCCAGAGGUGAAAUUCUUGGAUUCGCUGAAGACUAACUUAUGCGAAAGCAUU
This 328-nucleotide ribosomal RNA is filed under the name Allapsidae sp. RNAcentral's name for it is "SSU rRNA". The stretch from base 109 to 328 matches the Rfam family "Eukaryotic small subunit ribosomal RNA", at positions 734 to 955 of the family's 1831-position model. Lineage: Eukaryota; Cercozoa; Glissomonadida; Viridiraptoridae. The record is from RNAcentral.